Molecule: long non-coding RNA, 972 nt
Filed under: Pan troglodytes (chimpanzee)
Lineage: Eukaryota; Metazoa; Chordata; Mammalia; Primates; Hominidae
Description: long non-coding RNA NONPTRT003449
Source: RNAcentral
AAAAUGCGGGAGAGAGCGAGAGAGCGAGGCAACCCGGGGCUCAAAACAGUCAAAUUCAAAUUAAAAGGUCGAGACACGAAUCAGGGAAUAUUCCGGGAAAGAAAGAGGGAACCUGCGGAGCCUCGGUCAGUUUGGAGGAGUCACGUAUCACACGGGAAACCAGCACACAAGACGCAACAAAACCCGACCCAGAGAAGCGUCCUUUACAGAGCGCACGGGCUGGGAGCAUGUUUGAAAGAAGACAGACCAGUCUAUUUUUGUGGUUGUUUUUAAAUAAAAGGAAGAAAUAAGGGGAACCGUAUGUUUCAAACAGUUAUUUCCGUUUCUCCAUCGCCUUCUUCCAAAGCGAACUAAACUCUCCACCCCUUCCUCAGGAAACGGAAUCUGGAGAACAACUUGUCUUUCCUGUCGCCCCACAUUUUUCCUUGGACAGAGCCUAGGGUUCAGACUUUCCGAAGGGCUGGAGUUUGGCGGGGAAAGGACUGGAGCCCAGCGCCCUGGAGUGGAGGAGUGAGGAGGCUAGACCGUUUCUAAGGAGGCCCAAGCCCGCUGCGGCUAGAAGACCGCAGAAAGAAAUCCGCCGAAUUUCCCCAUCCAGGGGUGGAGAGAGAAGACGCAGGGGUUCCUGAACCUCCGGAAAACUGGAAGGAAAUGUGGAGUGUAUGAUUUGCUUGCAGGACCGGCCAGGGGAGAUUUGAAAUGGUUUUGUGUUUUCAUAUGCAGGGUCACCGUGGCCUCAGCAUGGGGGUUAUCCAGGGCAAGGUUAGGCUGUUUAGGCCCCAGACUUGGGACAGUCCGGGCAGCAGUCAAUCCAGGGAGCCAUUUGUCCCACCGCCCAUCCCGCGGGAAACGGGCGAGACUUUAUGGCCACUCUGUUUGUAUUAUCUGCAUUAGUCUUUCCCCACCAGUUUGAUCGAAACCUUUCCCUUUUACGAGGACCCAACGAAAAUUUCCCGUCAUAUUUAUCAGCCA